AACAGCAUUCUGUCGAUGUCUGCUUCGCAACGCAGUCGGCAUCGGUCGUCGACGCCUCGCACCACCCGCUGUGCGUUGAGCAAUCAGUUGGAUAGCAGAGCAAUGUGUGAGCGUAGCUCCCUUGCUCCAUUUUUCUACGCAUACAAGGCGAGUACAGUGUAGACCCAAUGAGCAUUCAAACACUUUGCGUAUAGAUGUUAAAUGCCAACAGGUUGUUGGAUAAAACCAGUUGGUCGGAAACGUGAUGCGCUAAUUGCCCACUUUGACAAAUCAGUGCACCGAAAUCGGAAGCAACGAUUCAUUCAAUGAUAAAUUACAAAAGCUGUUUUAAAAUCACACUAUGCCACGUCUACACUCCAAUGUACACCGGUGCCAACAAAAGAAAGGGAAAUUCUCAAUCAAAUCAAAUCAAAUGAAAAUCAAUCGAUCGGAAUCGUUGCAAAAGUGAAUUUUAGCUGAAAGCACGGCGCGCAUUUGAAUGACGGCGCGGCAGUAGCGGGUGCGCAGCUGCAAAUGACCAGGAGGAGCGGUGCGGAAGGGUAGGAUGAGGAUGAGGAAGCAGCAGUGAACACUGUGACACAAGUCAACGAAUAUGUCUAUCUCGGGGCAGGAUGUUGCUCAUAUGUCUAGAACGCUGACUAGCAAAGGCCAAGCACCAGUGUGAGAUAGUUAUCAUCUACUGUACUUUACGGACAGGUGGUUCAUUAACUAGAGGACAAAUUGAACAAAUUUUAAAUUUCUAUAAAGUAUCAAGAUAUGCGACAAUGAAUCUUUUGGGAAAUUUUGUUUACAUACAUAUACCUAUGUAAUAUAC
This is a long non-coding RNA of Bactrocera dorsalis (oriental fruit fly), 814 nucleotides long. RefSeq lists it as uncharacterized. The transcript has 3 exons. The record is from RefSeq and is a predicted model, not a curated record. Lineage: Eukaryota; Metazoa; Arthropoda; Insecta; Diptera; Tephritidae.